Molecule: long non-coding RNA, 715 nt
Organism: Daktulosphaira vitifoliae (grape phylloxera)
Lineage: Eukaryota; Metazoa; Arthropoda; Insecta; Hemiptera; Phylloxeridae
Exons: 4
Source: RefSeq, a predicted model, not a curated record
AACAUUUAUGUAAAGAAACCGAAUUAAUAUAAUUUGGUAGGAAGUGCAUACACGGACCUACAAGUUUGUGUGUACUCUCAUAUUUUUUUACAAUUUUAGUUUUAGCUUCGAUGCGAAGCUGAGAAGGUAUUGGUUUUACUAAGAUGUGUUUAUUUUUUUCUUUUUUCUUUUUUGUGUCUGUUACCACUUUUUCUCAGCUCUCACCGAACGGAUUUCUUUCAACAAUACGUCAAAAGAUCACAAAUCGUAUCUAGUCGAAGACAUUACCCUCAAAAAUUGAAAAAAUUUCCCUCGUUCCCCCUGUGCUGGGUUUUUUUUAUAAGUGUAGUUAUAUAGUUAUAUAUAGUGUAAUUAUAAAAACUGUUUUUUUAUUUUAUUACAGUAUGCCAUUGUAAAAAAGAAAAAAUAGAACAACAAAGUUCUAAAAAAGAUGUUGAAAUUUACGCUAUUUGUUAUGAUGAAGUAAGCAAUGAUCGUUAUGUGGCACCGUGUAAACAUGAAUUUUGUAAAAUAUGUAUAGAUCAAUGGUUAGAUAUUGGAAGAACAUGUCCAACAUGCCGACAUUUAAUCAAAGAAAAUAAUGAUUCGGAUUACUCAAGUUCUGAAGAGGAAAAUUAUCGGGAUAAUAUUCGUAACAUUAUUAGGCGAGAACUGCUGUCAAUUAAUCGCGUUGAUAAUUAUAAGUUUGACUAUUCACUGCGUAAAUUAAUUUUAC